GAGUGUAUAGCACAGUGGUAGAGUGUGUGCUUAGCAUGCAUGAGGUCCUGGGUUCAAUCCCCGGUACCUCG
Molecule: transfer RNA, 71 nt
Filed under: Camelus dromedarius (Arabian camel)
Lineage: Eukaryota; Metazoa; Chordata; Mammalia; Artiodactyla; Camelidae
Also listed under: 1 other name
Rfam family: tRNA
About the family: Transfer RNA (tRNA) molecules are approximately 80 nucleotides in length.
Source: Rfam by way of RNAcentral